AGUUGCGAUCAUAUCAGCACUAAUACAUCUGAUCCCAUCAGAACUCCAUAGUGAAGUGUGCUUAGGCGAGAGUAGUACUAGGAUGGGUGACCUCCUGGGAAGUCCUUGUGUUGCACCUC
This 119-nucleotide ribosomal RNA is filed under the name Lupinus angustifolius (narrow-leaved blue lupine). The record is from RNAcentral. Lineage: Eukaryota; Viridiplantae; Streptophyta; Magnoliopsida; Fabales; Fabaceae.